UGCGGGCAAAUCACCUUGAAACACCGGCUCCUGUACGAUCACCGAAGUUAAGCAACGUCGAACUUGGUCAGUACCUAGAUGAGUGACCGCUUGGAAAUACCAGGUAAUGUA
This is a non-coding RNA of Acanthosepion pharaonis, 111 nucleotides long. Lineage: Eukaryota; Metazoa; Mollusca; Cephalopoda; Sepiida; Sepiidae. The record is from the annotation of a GenBank genome assembly.